This 183-nucleotide non-coding RNA is filed under the name Thermosediminibacter oceani. RNAcentral also lists the same sequence under 1 other name. Lineage: Bacteria; Bacillati; Bacillota; Clostridia; Thermosediminibacterales; Thermosediminibacteraceae. The record is from RNAcentral.
CCGAAUAUUAAGCGUACAGGUGCCAGUCCUGUGGACUGGCUUAAAAGGGAAGUCCGGUGAAAGUCCGGCGCGGUCCCGCCACUGUAAUGGGAAGCCGCCUUAUAUUACGCCACUGGGAAACUGGGAAGGCAUAAGGCGGCGAUGAACCAGAGCCAGGAGACCUGCCUGUACUGCUCGUACACU